UGGGGAAUAUUGCACAAUGGGGGAAACCCUGAUGCAGCGACGCCGCGUGAGCGAAGAAGGCUUUCGAGUCGUAAAGCUCUGUCCUAUGAGAAGAUAAUGACGGUAUCAUAGGAGGAAGCCCUGGCUAAAUACGUGCCAGCAGCCGCGGUAAUACGUAUGGGGCGAGCGUUGUCCGGAAUUAUUGGGCGUAAAGGGUACGUAGGCGGUUUUUUAAGUCAGGUGUGAAAGCGUGAGGCUUAACCUCAUUAAGCACUUGAAACUGAUAGACUUGAGUGAAGGAGAGGAAAGUGGAAUUCCUAGUGUAGCGGUGAAAUGCGUAGAUAUUAGGAGGAAUACCGGUGGCGAAGGCGACUUUCUGGACUUUUACUGACGCUCAGGUACGAAAGCGUGGGGAGCAAACAGG
RNAcentral lists this ribosomal RNA (403 nucleotides) under Verrucomicrobiota bacterium. RNAcentral's name for it is "Verrucomicrobia bacterium partial 16S ribosomal RNA". It matches the Rfam family "Bacterial small subunit ribosomal RNA", at positions 355 to 776 of the family's 1533-position model. Lineage: Bacteria; Pseudomonadati; Verrucomicrobiota. The record is from RNAcentral.